RNAcentral lists this unclassified non-coding RNA (436 nucleotides) under Hevea brasiliensis (rubber tree). The record is from RNAcentral. Lineage: Eukaryota; Viridiplantae; Streptophyta; Magnoliopsida; Malpighiales; Euphorbiaceae.
UGAGACUACUGCUCGAUCCUGGACCCAGAAAUAUGCAAUGGGUUAGGGCUCCACACUUGCCUGAUGAGCGUAAUAUGCUUUGUCCUAUUAGUAAAUAAUGGAAACUUCUGGAGCAACGUUGUCUUUGUAUUCGAAUAUGAUAUUGGAGCUCUUUUCAUAGUGAGACAUCAUAUUGAAUAGUGGAAUAUUUAUGUGAAGUUUCAUGAAAAAAAGGUCUUUUCUUUUUCAUUGAUUUUUGGAAUGAAAAUUUUGCAUUGUAAAUAUUAAAUAACAAAAUGCAUAGGACACACUAGUACUAAUUGCACAUUAAAGGGAAAACAUGCCAGACUUUGUGGAUGCAGGCUGUCUUUCUGAGCAGGAUGUGGCAUGCUUAGGUGAUAACGAACUGAUGGUAAAUGCUGGUUUGUGUUCUGAUUCGAGUUUCGAAAUUAUAGGA